UAACGCGUAGGAACCUGUCGUCAAGUGGGGGAUAACGCUGGGAAACUGGCGCUAAUACCGCAUGUGGUCGCAGAGAUGCGAAGAAAGCAGCGAUGCGCUUGAUGAGGGGCCUGCGUCCGAUUAGCUAGUUGGGAGGGUAAAGGCCUACCAAGGCGACGAUCGGUAGCUGGUCUGAGAGGAUGUCCAGCCACACUGGGACUGAGACACGGCCCAG
Molecule: ribosomal RNA, 214 nt
Filed under: uncultured bacterium
Lineage: Bacteria
Description: partial 16S ribosomal RNA
Rfam family: Bacterial small subunit ribosomal RNA
Source: RNAcentral